RNAcentral lists this ribosomal RNA (1140 nucleotides) under Chryseobacterium aquaticum. RNAcentral's name for it is "bacterial SSU rRNA". It matches the Rfam family "Bacterial small subunit ribosomal RNA", at positions 135 to 1282 of the family's 1533-position model. The record is from RNAcentral. Lineage: Bacteria; Pseudomonadati; Bacteroidota; Flavobacteriia; Flavobacteriales; Weeksellaceae.
UCUGGGGGAUAGCCUUUCGAAAGGAAGAUUAAUACCCCAUAAUAUAUUGAGUGGCAUCACUUGAUAUUGAAAACUCCGGUGGAUAGAGAUGGGCACGCGCAAGAUUAGAUAGUUGGUGAGGUAACGGCUCACCAAGUCAAUGAUCUUUAGGGGGCCUGAGAGGGUGAUCCCCCACACUGGUACUGAGACACGGACCAGACUCCUACGGGAGGCAGCAGUGAGGAAUAUUGGACAAUGGGUGAGAGCCUGAUCCAGCCAUCCCGCGUGAAGGACGACUGCCCUAUGGGUUGUAAACUUCUUUUAUACUGGGAUAAACCUACCCUUCGUGAGGGUAGCUGAAGGUACAGUAUGAAUAAGCACCGGCUAACUCCGUGCCAGCAGCCGCGGUAAUACGGAGGGUGCAAGCGUUAUCCGGAUUUAUUGGGUUUAAAGGGUCCGUAGGCGGACUCGUAAGUCAGUGGUGAAAUCUCAUAGCUUAACUAUGAAACUGCCAUUGAUACUGCGGGUCUUGAGUAAAGUAGAAGUGGCUGGAAUAAGUAGUGUAGCGGUGAAAUGCAUAGAUAUUACUUAGAACACCAAUUGCGAAGGCAGGUCACUAUGUUUUAACUGACGCUGAUGGACGAAAGCGUGGGGAGCGAACAGGAUUAGAUACCCUGGUAGUCCACGCCGUAAACGAUGCUAACUCGUUUUUGGGUUUUCGGAUUCAGAGACUAAGCGAAAGUGAUAAGUUAGCCACCUGGGGAGUACGUUCGCAAGAAUGAAACUCAAAGGAAUUGACGGGGGCCCGCACAAGCGGUGGAUUAUGUGGUUUAAUUCGAUGAUACGCGAGGAACCUUACCAAGGCUUAAAUGGGAAUUGACAGGUUUAGAAAUAGAUCCUUCUUCGGACAAUUUUCAAGGUGCUGCAUGGUUGUCGUCAGCUCGUGCCGUGAGGUGUUAGGUUAAGUCCUGCAACGAGCGCAACCCCUGUCACUAGUUGCCAUCAUUCAGUUGGGGACUCUAGUGAGACUGCCUACGCAAGUAGAGAGGAAGGUGGGGAUGACGUCAAAUCAUCACGGCCCUUACGCCUUGGGCCACACACGUAAUACAAUGGCCGGUACAGAGGGCAGCUACUAUGCGAAUAGAUGCGAAUCUCGAAAGC